RNAcentral lists this ribosomal RNA (468 nucleotides) under uncultured bacterium. Its description in RNAcentral is "partial 16S ribosomal RNA". It matches the Rfam family "Bacterial small subunit ribosomal RNA", at positions 28 to 507 of the family's 1533-position model. The record is from RNAcentral.
GACGAACGCUGGCGGCGUGCUUAACACAUGCAAGUCGAACGGAAAGGCCCUGCUUUUGUGGGGUGCUCGAGUGGCGAACGGGUGAGUAACACGUGAGUAACCUGCCCUUGACUUUGGGAUAACUUCAGGAAACUGGGGCUAAUACCGGAUAGGAGCUCCUGCUGCAUGGUGGGGGUUGGAAAGUUUCGGCGGUUGGGGAUGGACUCGCGGCUUAUCAGCUUAUUGGUGGGGUAGUGGCUUACCAAGGCUUUGACGGGUAGCCGGCCUGAGAGGGUGACCGGCCACAUUGGGACUGAGAUACGGCCCAGACUCCUACGGGAGGCAGCAGUGGGGAAUAUUGCACAAUGGGCGGAAGCCUGAUGCAGCAACGCCGCGUGCGGGAUGACGGCCUUCGGGUUGUAAACCGCUUUCGCCUGUGACGAAGCGUGAGUGACGGUAAUGGGAAAAGAAGCACCGGCUAACUACGUG